This 1396-nucleotide ribosomal RNA is filed under the name uncultured bacterium. Its description in RNAcentral is "16S ribosomal RNA". It matches the Rfam family "Bacterial small subunit ribosomal RNA". The record is from RNAcentral.
AGAGUUUGAUCCUGGCUCAGGAUGAACGCUAGCUACAGGCUUAACACAUGCAAGUCGAGGGGCAGCGGGGUGUAGCAAUACACUGCCGGCGACCGGCGCACGGGUGCGUAACACGUAUCCAAUCUGCCCUGUGCUCGGGGACAGCCCAUCGAAAGAUGGAUUAAUACCCGAUGGCAUCUGUAUUCCGCAUGGAUUACAGAUUAAAGAUUUCAUCGGCACAGGAUGAGGAUGCGUAUGAUUAGGUAGUAGGCGGGGUAACGGCCUACCUAGCCAUCGAUCAUUAGGGGUUCUGAGAGGAAGGUCCCCCACACUGGAACUGAGACACGGUCCAGACUCCUACGUGAGGCAGCAGUGAGGAAUAUUGGUCAAUGGACGCGAGUCUGAACCAGCCAAGUAGCGUGAAGGAUGACUGCCCUACGGGUUGUAAACUUCUUUUGUUCGGGAAUAAAGUGCGCCACGUGCUGGCGUUUUGUAUGUACCGUUCGAAUAAGCAUCGGCUAAUUCCGUGCCAGCAGCCGCGGUAAUACGGAAGAUGCGAGCGUUAUCCGGAUUUAUUGGGUUUAAAGGGAGCGUAGGCGGGCUGUUAAGUCAGCGGUUAAAUGUUAUGGCCCAACCUUGGCAUGCCGUUGAAACUGGCGGCCUUGAGUUCACACAAGGAUGGUGGAAUUCGUCGUGUAGCGGUGAAAUGCUUAGAUAUGACGAAGAACUCCGAUUGCGAAGGCAGCCGUCUGGGGUGUUACUGACGCUGAGGCUCGAAAGUGCGGGUAUCGAACAGGAUUAGAUACCCUGGUAGUCCGCACAGUAAACGAUGAACGCUGGUCAUUGGCGACAUACAGUCAGUGACUGAGGGAAACCAUUAAGCGUUCCACCUGGGGAGUACGCCGGCAACGGUGAAACUCAAAGGAAUUGACGGGGGCCCGCACAAGCGGAGGAACAUGUGGUUUAAUUCGAUGAUACGCGAGGAACCUUACCCGGGCUUGAAAUGUGCCUGACGACCUGCGGAGAUGCGGGUUUUCUUCGGACAGGCAUGUAGGUGCUGCAUGGUUGUCGUCAGCUCGUGCCGUGAGGUGUCGGCUUAAGUGCCAUAACGAGCGCAACCCUUGCCGUCAGUUGCCAUCGGGUAAUGCCGGGCACUCUGUCGGGACUGCCAUCGCAAGAUGCGAGGAAGGUGGGGAUGACGUCAAAUCAGCACGGCCCUUACGUCCGGGGCUACACACGUGUUACAAUGGGGGGCACAGCGCGUCGGCUUACGGUGACGUUGGUCCAAUCGUGAAAUCCCCUCUCAGUUCGGACUGGAGUCUGUAACCCGACUCCACGAAGCUGGAUUCACUAGUAAUCGCGCAUCAGCCAUGGCGCGGUGAAUACGUUAACCGGGCCUUGCACACACCGCCCGUCA